CCACGGUGCCCGACUUUUCAAUAUUUUGAAACCAGUUAUUCUGAGAAUGGUUACAAAGUAUUUGAAAAGCCGUGCACUGUAA
Caenorhabditis brenneri is the source of this 82-nucleotide non-coding RNA. Lineage: Eukaryota; Metazoa; Nematoda; Chromadorea; Rhabditida; Rhabditidae. The record is from Rfam.